GUGGAUCCAAGUAAAAACCAAGACGGCAGAACACGACUCGACGGCGCGGAGCAGCCAAUCGCUCCCUCCGCGUUAUCUCGUUGCCUCCACCCCUCCGCCCCAUUCCCGCUGCUGCUGCUCCUCUCUCCUCUUAGCCCAAACACACCUCACCUCGCUCCCCGUCCCGCCGAUCUCUUCUCUUAGGGUCGUCCGCGAUGGCGGCUCCGGUGGUGGACGCCGAGUACCUGCGCCAGGUCGACAGGGGGCGCCGCGCUCUCCGCGCCCUCAUCGCCUCCAAGGGAUGCGCCCCCAUCAUGCUCCGCCUCGCAUGGCAUGAUGCUGGCACGUAUGAUGUGAACACAAGAACUGGUGGUGCAAAUGGUUCAAUUAGAUACGAGGAAGAGUACACCCAUGGUUCAAAUGCUGGCUUAAAAAUUGCUAUUGAUCUCCUCGAGCCUAUUAAAGCGAAGCAUCCAAAGAUUACAUAUGCAGACCUUUAUCAGCUUGCUGGAGUAGUUGCAGUUGAAGUCACCGGGGGUCCAACCGUUGAGUUCAUCCCUGGAAGACGUGAUUCGUCAGUUUGUCCCCGUGAAGGGCGCCUUCCUGAUGCUAAGAAAGGCGCACCACAUCUAAGGGACAUCUUUUAUCGAAUGGGCUUAACAGACAAAGAUAUUGUAGCACUAUCUGGGGGGCACAGCCUGGGAAAGGCACAUCCUGAAAGGUCUGGUUUUGACGGUGCAUGGACUCGUGACCCUCUGAAGUUUGACAACUCAUACUUUCUUGAGCUACUGAAGGGGGAAUCGGAGGGUCUUCUGAAGCUCCCUACUGAUAAGGCAUUGUUGGAUGAUCCUGAAUUUAGACGUUAUGUGGAGCUUUAUGCAAAGGACGAGGAUGCUUUCUUCAAGGACUAUACUGAAUCACACAAGAAACUUUCUGAACUUGGCUUCACACCACGGAUCAGUGGCCCAGCUUCUACAAAAUCAGAUGUUUCAACUGCUGUUGUACUUGCACAGAGUGCAGUGGGGGUAGCAGUUGCGGCAGCUGUAGUCAUCGCGGGCUACCUGUACGAGGCUUCCAAGAGGAGCAAGUAAGGGGUUUCAUGAGUUCUUGGAUGGCAUUGCCUUAUUUAGUAAGUAUAUCAAGUUAUUCUUAAAAAAAUAAGUGCCAAGUUCAAAUAAUAGAACUCUAGUGAUGAACAACCAACAGCAGUCUUAAAAUAUUUCAGGCAUUCUUGAGGACAUCUCCUUCAUGUAUACAUCAUACUUGAAUAUUUCAGUGACAAUGAAUGCUUACUAUUAAAAGCAUUUUUG
Molecule: ribosomal RNA, 1289 nt
Filed under: Triticum aestivum (bread wheat)
Lineage: Eukaryota; Viridiplantae; Streptophyta; Magnoliopsida; Poales; Poaceae
Description: partial small subunit ribosomal RNA
Source: RNAcentral